UACCCUAUUUCCAUUCACAAAUGCGAGUAUUCAUUAAGUAUGUGUCUUAUCAGCAGACUGUCCUCCAAGGCGGAGUGUGAUAGAACAUUUAAGAUGAUAGUCAAUUGGGCCACACUCCUAAUUGACUCGUGAUUAAUGCCAGAGCUGAUUAAUAAAGUGAAGUUAGCCCUCUUCCUCUGGGCUGCGAUAGGAGGAGGAGUGAUAGAUAGGUUUUGAGUGCUGAUGCAUGGCAGUGAACAGAGGAUCAACUGGGCCAUUCUUCCAGCUGUAGGCUGGUUAGUUUAGCAUGUAACAUUGUUUUAGUAUGAUAAUCUGAUUUUUAAUGGCUCCAAGUUGAUGUCAGAUGUGGCUAUACGUAUUAUGUUUCUGGGCUGUCUGUACAUGUCUUCUUUGCAGCAACGUCAAGUGAUGACAGCACAGGAAAUUGUUCCCUGGAAUCAUACAUGUCUGAGGGCCAUAAUAGAUUAGCUUGGAAAAUCCAAACUGAAUCUCUAUGUAAUCUCCUAUCUCCAUGUUAGGAGAUACAGGAGAGUCAGUUUGGCAUUGUGCGAAUUGAAUCAGUACAGUUUGGUACGACCAAUCAUAGCACGGGAGGCGGGAGUUAAUGCUGCGUCAUCUUCAGCGCCUGGAUUCAGCGCCGGAGGAGGAGGAGGUGGGCUGUAAUGCACCAAGAAGCUGGAUGCCAACUGCCGUAAAACAAGAAGAAGGAGGAGGAGGAGGGGGGCCAAAGCAAAUCUUUUUGUGGUCUCUUGGUGUUUUGGAUGGCGUUAGUCGUUGCCUCUUUUCACUUGACAUUUCCGACGAUGAGGGGGCAGUGGAUGGCUCGUUACUUUCGGCUUCUUGCCAUUGUUUGUACAGAGGAAAAUCCCGUUCCAAACGUCAAACUGGCCGGACUACUUUCUUCUGGACCAAAACCAGACCGGAUCUCUGCUCACCGGACGCUGUCGGGGAUGCAGCGUGGUGGUGCUAGUUCUGUGCUGAGCCAGCAGCCACGAAUGUCUCCUGUUUCGGGGCCCGCUGGGAGCCGUCCACCAAGUCGAUCAAUACCUGGACUGUCUGGGCUAGCCGGCUCAGCCCUUCGUCCUCCAUGAUGAGCUGAGGAGAACACAAGGUAUCCUGGGAGAAGAAGGAAGGAGCUGUGAGUAGAUACAAAGGUCCCAACGGAAGCACUGAAGGCCAAGAUCUGGAACAUCCGUUUGUUCAAGCAACAACAGUGCUCAACCCUUCCUCAGUCGGAUGGAGCACACUGGCAGUCCAGUCACCAAAUUCAAAUCAUGGAUUGUAGAUGAGGCUUAAUGAGGAUCUGGGCACUCAAUGCAUGUAAGUAAUGUGGUCUGAGUACAGCUAAUAAAACACAAAGAUUUAGAACAAUCAAUCAUUUGGCUUGCUACACCAAUAAGAACAAUGACUGUGUGUCAUAUAUGUAGCCAAUGGGGCUGCUGGGACACUGAACCUCAACAAUGUAGUUAUCUUGGUUGUGGAACAACAAGGCAGAAUGAUGAAAGCUGCCUGCUGGGUUUCAACACAAACAGGGGUGUGGAAUGUAGCUGCUGCUGACACUAAAAUACAAUCAAGUGUCUUACAAAAUCUGAAAUUUUGACCCAAUUAACAAGUGACAGGGGGUCUGUAUAUGCAUAGAAUGUGUAAUAAAAAUGCAGCAAUUCUUACAGCUGUUUCACUGAUCAAGACAGAGUCAGUGAGUCUGUACUGUUAACUUUUUGCAGAUAACAGCACCCAAAAGCAUACAAGUUUGAGGCUCAGUGAGUGACUAACUGUAAGUAAUGGGAACUUCAGUCUAUUGACUUUUCCCAGCCCUUCAAAUACACAGUAACUGACCUUGUAAAACACGGAAGAAAAAGACAGAAAAGUGAUAAAGCUUUAACUGUGUCACUUGGAGUGACAGAGUACACAGUCUUCAUUCAGGGAAACACAUUGCUCAAUUAAAAUGGAAGCAGCUGAAGAGAAUUAAAGGCGAUAUGUACAUGCAUUUCCGAUAUGCUUGUAAACUUUGGCACAAAUCCUGGAAACAAAUGAGAUCUUGGUGGAGGUCAGGCCUAGAGUCCACUGCCAACAGUGAUAUAACUAGCAGU
Molecule: long non-coding RNA, 2090 nt
Organism: Acanthochromis polyacanthus (spiny chromis)
Lineage: Eukaryota; Metazoa; Chordata; Actinopteri; Pomacentridae
Exons: 4
Source: RefSeq, a predicted model, not a curated record